AACUCACAAUUAUAAGUAGUGUGCUACAUGAGGGGCAAAUCUUUCACUAACACCACAAGGGUCUCUGGCCCAAAUGAAUACAAUUUGAUAGUAAUUCUUGCUACAAAU
RNAcentral lists this small nucleolar RNA (108 nucleotides) under Canis lupus dingo (dingo). The record is from RNAcentral. Lineage: Eukaryota; Metazoa; Chordata; Mammalia; Carnivora; Canidae.